UCCAGACUCCUACGGGAGGCAGCAGUGGGGGAUAUUGGACAAUGGGGGAAACCCUGAUCCAGCGACGCCGCGUGAGUGAAGAAGUAUUUCGGUAUGUAAAGCUCUGUCAGCAGGGAAGAAAGAAAUGACGGUACCUGACCAAGAAGCCCCGGCUAACUACGUGCCAGCAGCCGCGGUAAUACGUAGGGGGCAAGCGUUAUCCGGAAUUACUGGGUGUAAAGGGAGCGUAGACGGUGAUGCAAGUCUGGAGUGAAAUCCCGGGGCUUAACCCCGGAACUGCUUUGGAAACUGUGCGGCUGGAGUGCAGGAGGGGUAAGCGGAAUUCCUAGUGUAGCGGUGAAAUGCGUAGAUAUUAGGAGGAACACCGGUGGCGAAGGCGGCUUACUGGACCGUAACUGACGUUGAGGCUCGAAAGCGUGGGGAGCAAACAGGAUUAGAUACCCCCGUAUCU
This 451-nucleotide ribosomal RNA is filed under the name uncultured bacterium. Its description in RNAcentral is "bacterial SSU rRNA". It matches the Rfam family "Bacterial small subunit ribosomal RNA", at positions 330 to 795 of the family's 1533-position model. The record is from RNAcentral.